UACAGAGGUCUCAAGCGUUGUUCGGAUUCAUUGGGCGUAAAGGGUGCGUAGGCGGCGCGGUAAGUCGGGUGUGAAAUCUCGGAGCUUAACUCCGAAACUGCAUUCGAUACUGCCGUGCUUGAGGACUGGAGAGGAGACUGGAAUUUACGGUGUAGCGGUGAAAUGCGUAGAUAUCGUAAGGAAGACCGAAAGCGAAGGCAGGCAACUGGGUGUCACCUGACACUGCUAGGACGAAAGCGUGGGGAGCGAAUGGG
Molecule: ribosomal RNA, 254 nt
Filed under: uncultured bacterium
Lineage: Bacteria
Description: partial 16S ribosomal RNA
Rfam family: Bacterial small subunit ribosomal RNA
Source: RNAcentral